GAGUUCAUCUGUUCCGCCGUUAAU
RNAcentral lists this microRNA (24 nucleotides) under Panagrellus redivivus. RNAcentral's name for it is "prd-miR-7950a-5p". The record is from miRBase by way of RNAcentral. Lineage: Eukaryota; Metazoa; Nematoda; Chromadorea; Rhabditida; Panagrolaimidae.